GACAGAGGGUGCAAACGUUGUUCGGAGUUACUGGGCGUAAAGCGCGUGUAGGCGGCCCUGCAAGUCGGGUGUGAAAUCCCACGGCUCAACCGUGGAAGUGCAUUCGAAACUGCAGGGCUAGAGUCCUGGAGAGGAAGGUGGAAUGCUUGGUGUAGAGGUGAAAUUCGUAGAUAUCGGGAAGAACAUCGGUGGCGAAGGCGCUCUACUGGACCACAACUGACACUCAGGGACGAAAGCUAGGGGAGCGAAUGGG
Molecule: ribosomal RNA, 253 nt
Filed under: uncultured bacterium
Lineage: Bacteria
Description: partial 16S ribosomal RNA
Rfam family: Bacterial small subunit ribosomal RNA
Source: RNAcentral